CCAACCAGCCACCAGGCAGGCACCUCUGCACUGCUCCUCUGUUUCUUCUUUCCUUCCCUCUGAAUCCUCCCCUUCCUAUUCCUCCAGCUAGUCUCUUCUUUAUGUCGGAGCCUUCCUCCUCAGAUCUCCUUCCUCCAGUUUGAAGCCCUGGGCCCAGCUGGCCACAUCUGUCCCACUGCGGGCCCUGAACUGUCGAACUGUCGCUUGUUUCUCCAGUUUGUCGAAGGUUGCAGACAUUAAUUCCUGUGCAUCUCUCUUAUGGCCCGACCACAGCAUUUCUGACCCUGAAGAUCAAAGCCUGAGUUGACAAAGACGCAUCAUUACCAAACUUCUCUGAUCCGAGUUUCAGGUUGCGUUGGAACAGAAUCUUGGGGGAUUAGAAAGCUGCUAACAUGUCCCAGAAAGACCUAAACAAAAAGCCUUACUUGAAAAGAUUGUAAAAAGCUGGGCUUCAAGUGCAAUAACCUGUCCGUUUUUGUUUUUUUUUUGCUAAUUACUCUAUGUAAUGUGAUGGAGUUUAUAGAAAGGUUUUAUAUUUUAUGUAUAAAAGUACUGAAUCCUGCAAGAUUUUCAGGUGUUAAACUACUGAGAUCUACAGGUCUAAAAAGUGUAUGUAAUACUGUUUUAUUUCAAAAUCCUUUCCACUAUUACUGUGAGAGAAGAUGAUUUUUUAAAAGGAAAUCCAACCAAAAAGAUUUUGAACACUCAGUUUAUUAAGCUCAGAUUUUAUCAAAUAUGUUAUUUUUUUCAACAACUUUUCCUUCAUUUCAUGUAUUAUGUUGAUCAAGUUCUCAGUAGACAGGACUAAGUAAAAAAAUAAUCCACUUUUAAUAUUUUAUCUGCAUCAGUCCAGCUUGGUAUAGCAAAUAUGAUUUUUCACAUUUGAAUGUAAUUUUAGGUCCAUAUAUAUUAUUAACAUGCUCAUAUGCAUUUUCCCAAUGUGUAAUUAUAAUUUGACGCCCCAACAAAUGGAAGUGAUUGGCACCUUUGCUCCUUUUUAACAGGGUGUCAUGGCUGGUUGUUUCUCAUUUGAAUUGCACAGGAUUCAUGUCACAUUAAAGUUUGGA
This is a non-coding RNA of Poecilia reticulata (guppy), 1067 nucleotides long. NCBI's taxonomy places the organism in Eukaryota, Metazoa, Chordata, Actinopteri, Cyprinodontiformes, Poeciliidae. The record is from RefSeq and is a predicted model, not a curated record.